Molecule: long non-coding RNA, 1861 nt
Filed under: Homo sapiens (human)
Lineage: Eukaryota; Metazoa; Chordata; Mammalia; Primates; Hominidae
Description: non-protein coding lnc-SOX5-5:7
Source: RNAcentral
GCCUUUUGUUAUUUGCACUCGCAUUGUGUUGUUUGUCUCUGAAGCCGCCUCAUGACCAGCAAAGGGAUUUCACCUCGUCCUUGAGAGCAACACGGGGAGCGCGAGCGAGCGGGCGAGCGAGAGACGGGGGGAGAGAGAGGGACACGCGCGCGCACACACACACACACCGGCACACACGCACACACACAGACACACACACACAGAGUGAAAAAGGCGAGCCACCAAAACCCAUCUCCAGUCUCCUCCCGGGGGCCCCCAGCCCGCCUCUGUGCCACUUUGCAUCCCACGCCGGAGGAGGCAUUAACGAGACCGGGUAAGGCUUUUUAAACGGUCCAAGGUGUAGAGCCAUACUUCAGGAGGAUCCUCAGAAGUUUUGGACAAGCCUCCCCAAAUGUGGCAGGUGCUGUGCUGGCCAUUGGUGACCCAAAGAUGAUGAAAAAUAUGUUCCUGCCCACAAGGAGUUAGCGACCUACUGGGCUUUCCUCUUGCUGAUGACAUGAUUCCUGUUUGAAUCUGUUGACAAGAUUCUGAAAGCUGAACAGAGAAUUCUGGCACUGCACUGGGUAGGAAAAAGCAUUUCAAGAAAUAGAUAAUAUCAAGGACAUCAGGACACCGGGAGUGGGAGAGAUUGGACUGGGAGACUCAGCAGGACUAUCUUCCCUCUGCUUUUCACUUGGAAGUAAACCUGUCUUGUUCUCCACUUCAUCCCUAACACACUAUUUAAAGUGCUUUCUAAUAGCAUGUGUUGAAUAAAUUUGGCGUGAAGAGCUGUAGCCAAAUGAAUACGAUGUGAAAUCCAAUGCCAUAAAGGCUGCAAAAGAUCUACAAGGUGACAGUGUAUAAGGCUUCAUAGAAAAGAGAAAGUUCCAUAGACAAGGCAGUAUUUGAGCUGGGCUUUAAAGGAUGCAUAUGAUUUUGCCCAGCAGAGAUGUUGGACAGUGGGAAGAUUGCCAAGGAUAUAUUUAAAGCUCUGGUGUCUUAUGUUCCUCUUGGGCUUGAGUUUGGAUGCAACACAGGGGAUACAAAAGGAAAAUAGUGACUAUAAAGGUAAGUUGGGUUCAAAUAAUAAGAAGACUUUGAAUCUUAUGCUAAGUGGUUUGUCCUAACUCCACAGGACUUGGGGAGUCAUUAAAACUUUUUGUUUGUCUUGGGAAAGUAGGGUGAUGAUUAGGGCUGUGCCUUGGAUUAAUUAAUUCUUAUGAUGUCACUCUGAGGCUGACUGAUUUAUAAACUGUAUGGCUAUAAGAAGGAAGAUAGAAUACUAAUGCAAUCAUGAAGUAAGAGUUCAGGAAAGUCAGGCGUGAGUGGUAACACCAGGGUGCAGAUACAAGCAGAAAUCUGAAGAUGGAAUCCAUAGGGUUUGAUGUCCUCCUAGAGUGCUAAGGGAUCAAUUUCAACUUUGAAUAAUGGAAAUAAAGGCCUUGCAAUUCACAGAUAUAGGAAAUCACAAAAAGCAGUUUGUUUUUACUGAUUUAUUCUUUUUUAAAAAUUUUUGUCAGAGGGCAUGAAUUGUUUUGAGAGUCUUUAUAUUUGAGUUACCAAUACUGAUAUAUUGAGGAAGUAAGUAUUCCACAUUGGAGAUUCUGGAACAUGGCACGAGAGUUGACGAUGCAGCUAUAUGAAUUUAAACUUGAUGCUGAAAGUUGCCUCCUUAGUGGAAGAAGGGCAAUCUAGACUGAGGGGAUAGCCUGCAAGACGAGGGUGCUGAAUGCCAUGUAGAAUUUUGAAGAUCGCAUGGAAUAGUGGAAAUAGAAGAAACUCUCAAGUUUGAGUUGUAGCUUUGCUGCUUUACAAACUAUAUGGUCUUGAAGUAGCAUUUGGUUUGUUUAUUCAUUUAUUUAUCUUUAAUAUCUGCCCAGGG